CUUAUUACUACAAUUUUUGCAGGAGUUGGCAAUGUAUAUAUUGCUAUGCAGAUCUAGAAAUAGCUUUGGUAGAGCGAAAUAAGAUUGGAGAAAGGAAGCACAGAUCAUAAUCUCAUCUUCGAGCCAUAAUCCAUUUCAGGACAUGACCAACAAGAAAGGGCAAGAUCCUAAAGAAGUCGAAAAGCGGAGGGAUAGGAAGUGGUAUGGA
Molecule: long non-coding RNA, 208 nt
Organism: Lolium rigidum
Lineage: Eukaryota; Viridiplantae; Streptophyta; Magnoliopsida; Poales; Poaceae
Exons: 3
Source: RefSeq, a predicted model, not a curated record